This 518-nucleotide ribosomal RNA is filed under the name Mycoplasma haemofelis. Its description in RNAcentral is "bacterial SSU rRNA". It matches the Rfam family "Bacterial small subunit ribosomal RNA", at positions 422 to 961 of the family's 1533-position model. Lineage: Bacteria; Bacillati; Mycoplasmatota; Mollicutes; Mycoplasmatales; Mycoplasmataceae. The record is from RNAcentral.
GUUGUAAAGUUCUUUUACGAGGGAUAAUUAUGAUAGUACUUCGUGAAUAAGUGACAGCAAACUAUGUGCCAGCAGCUGCGGUAAUACAUAGGUCGCGAGCAUUAUUCGGAUUUAUUGGGCGUAAAGCAAGCGCAGGCGGAUGUGUAAGUUCUGUGUUAAAUGCAGCUACUCAAUAGUUGUAUGCACCGAAUACUACAUGUCUAGAUUGUGGUAGGGAGUUUCGGAAUUAAGCAUGGAGCGGUGGAAUGUGUAGAUAUGCUUAAGAACACCAGAGGCGAAGGCGGAAACUUAGGCCAUAAAUGACGCUUAGGCUUGAAAGUGUGGGGAGCAAAUGGGAUUAGAUACCCCAGUAGUCCACACCGUAAACGAUGGGUAUUAGAUAUUAGGGCUUUAGCUUUAGUGUUGUAGCUUACGCGUUAAAUACCCCGCCUGGGUAGUACAUAUGCAAAUAUGAAACUCAAAGGAAUUGACGGGGACCUGAACAAGUGGUGGAGCAUGUUGCUUAAUUCGAUAAUACA